Non-coding RNA from Ictidomys tridecemlineatus (thirteen-lined ground squirrel), 70 nucleotides. NCBI's taxonomy places the organism in Eukaryota, Metazoa, Chordata, Mammalia, Rodentia, Sciuridae. The record is from Rfam.
GGGGAUGUGGCUCAGUGGUAGAGUAUGUGCUUAGCAUGUGAGGCCCUGGGUUCCAUCCCCAGCACCAUCA